GUGGUUACAGCUCAGUGGUAGAGCGCAUGCUUAGCAUGCAUGAGGUUCUGGGUUCAAUUCCUAGUACCUCCA
Molecule: transfer RNA, 72 nt
Filed under: Camelus bactrianus (Bactrian camel)
Lineage: Eukaryota; Metazoa; Chordata; Mammalia; Artiodactyla; Camelidae
Also listed under: 3 other names
Rfam family: tRNA
About the family: Transfer RNA (tRNA) molecules are approximately 80 nucleotides in length. Their secondary structure includes four short double-helical elements and three loops (D, anti-codon, and T loops).
Source: Rfam by way of RNAcentral